CGUUACAAAGGGGUUUAUCCAGUGGUGGUUUGAAAGCGGCUGCUGGAGGAGUAGUAGUGUGAUGGUGAUUUUCGCGGUGAGGGUGAUUCAGACUUUCAUCUUCGCCUCGUCAAUUGCGUGAAUAUGUUUGGGUAAAUCAGUGAAAAUUUGUGGGCAACUGCUGUGUCGCCGGUGGGGUGGUGGUGUUGGUUCAGCGAUGAGGUCUCCUUUAAAAAUGGGCUCUCGUCGAUUUCAGUUGAACGCACCGAGUGAGGAUAGAACUUCUACUCCAUCACCGUCUCAAAGAGAGUGAGGAGAGAGGAAGAGAGAGG
This 311-nucleotide long non-coding RNA is filed under the name Olea europaea subsp. europaea. Lineage: Eukaryota; Viridiplantae; Streptophyta; Magnoliopsida; Lamiales; Oleaceae. The record is from RNAcentral.